Molecule: ribosomal RNA, 332 nt
Filed under: Triticum aestivum (bread wheat)
Lineage: Eukaryota; Viridiplantae; Streptophyta; Magnoliopsida; Poales; Poaceae
Description: partial small subunit ribosomal RNA
Source: RNAcentral
GGUGGAGCUGGGGCGCGGGGGCGAGGAGGGCGUACCGCGUGGACUGGGCUUCGGCGAGCUACGGGGCUGGGGAAGCGGGGGCGGCGACACGCGGCAGCGGCAGCGGCCUAGCGGUCGCGGUGGAGCGGGACUGCAGCGGGGCGGUGGAGCAGGCGUGGUGGCCGUGGACAACGGAGGGGCUGGGGCGACGGCCUUGCGGAGGGGCGGAGAGGGGGUCCGGCGAGGGAACGCGAAGCUGCGGGCUAGGGGAUGACGGCAGCUGAGGCUCUGACUACAACGGCGACACUAUCUGAUACAACUGCUGCUGGGGAGGAAGAGCAGACUCGAAGGUC